This 89-nucleotide transfer RNA is filed under the name Coprinopsis cinerea okayama7#130. RNAcentral describes it as "tRNA-Asp". RNAcentral also lists the same sequence under 1 other name. The record is from RNAcentral. Lineage: Eukaryota; Fungi; Basidiomycota; Agaricomycetes; Agaricales; Psathyrellaceae.
UCUCCGUUAGUAUAUCGGUUAGUACACGCGCCUGUCAUUGAUUGCUUAUCAAUACGCGCGAAAGCUGGGUUCGACUCCCAGACGGAGAG